Molecule: long non-coding RNA, 1268 nt
Organism: Cyprinus carpio carpio
Lineage: Eukaryota; Metazoa; Chordata; Actinopteri; Cypriniformes; Cyprinidae
Source: Ensembl
CUCAACCUUUUACCGUGGCUCAUCCGGCCGCAGCGUCAUCGUGCAGCCGGGCCUCAAGCUCUCGCGCUAGCGGCACAGUAAGUGUUGCAAAUACAUUUUUAGGUAAGUCGCUAAAAGGUGUCAUUCGUUGCUGAAAGUUGCUAAAGACGUUGUGACACAAGGAUCUUUAUAUUAUUUUCAGCCUCGUCGCAAACGGCGCAGAAUACAAAGAAAUUUCUAAGAUUUUCUUAAUUUCGCGAGUAUUUUUUCCUGUAUUUUAAAUUACACUUCACUCAGAUAAACGGAUGAAAAAGAUUGAUUUGCGAGAAAAUGAUUUCAGCUAUGUACUUAAACGACUAUCGAUUAUCCACUUUUUUCCUCAACGCCGAGGUGAGCCUGGGUGAGACUUCCAUUUCAUUAGCCGCUAUGGGUAAAUAACGAGGAGAUUAACACCGUACAGUAAAACUGUUUGCAGUACAAACUAGAGUGUUCUUAAGAUAACAGAUUAAAAUAAAAUAAUAGGACACAUCAAUCGUCAAUAUCAAGCAGCUAAACCAGCUGUUUUGUACAGCUAAAAAUAAGGUUUACCACUAAGAAACAAUCAACAAGCGCAACCUAAUUCACAUGUGACGCGAGUAUAUAGAUUGCUAAUGUGUCGUCAUCAUGACGUAUUCCCAGUGGUGAACGCAAAGCAUUUUGGGAAACCGCGGCACAAACAUAACGCGCCAGACUUCUAUGCAUGGAGGGAAGAACGCUGUUAUAAACUGGAAUAGUCUUUCUCACGAUAGAAGUGGCGUAAAGCUUAAGAACGGAAUAUCCUUUUAUCGUUUUCCAGCGUGGAAAAAUAAUAGUACAAGCCAUGUUUCAGAGGUGACAAAGUUGACGAAUGGCAUGGAUAACGUUAGCAGCAGUAAGGAGCCCAAGAUUACCUUCGAUAACACUCCACACGAUGGUGUUCAAAACAUUUUCACAACGGCAAACCUGCCUAUGAAAUAUUGGAGUGUGAUCCUGACUGGACCCCUUCUCUGUACCUCGGCCAUACUGAGGUCAAAGCUACGAACACAGACCGGUUCAAGCCCUUUUGGAGAAUUAUAUACCAUGCUCACAUCUAAUAUGUAAAUGUUUAUUGUUUUCCAAAAGAUUUUGUAAUGUGUCUUCUCACAUGUAAUGAUUUUUAGCCAUGUCUGUAAAUAAAAUACACAAAGACUAAAUGGAAUUCUGCCUCCUUUAUCUGUAUUAAGGAAUAAUUGUGCAAAAUCAGUGUUCUUUGGUUGCAAACACAAGUACAU